This 208-nucleotide unclassified non-coding RNA is filed under the name Hevea brasiliensis (rubber tree). The record is from RNAcentral. Lineage: Eukaryota; Viridiplantae; Streptophyta; Magnoliopsida; Malpighiales; Euphorbiaceae.
AGGUAAUUUCUAGCUGUAUCACCAUGGGGGCUGGGGAUUGUGGAAGGGAAAUGUAAUCUAUUGCCAAGAGAUAUGCCUGGCACGUAUUCUCAUUCAGGGUUUUAUUGCAUCACUAAAUGAAUAGAAACAUUCAGUACUUGCACAAUGUGUGUGCUUAUGUAUGCAUGUGUAUAUGCUUCUGAUAUUGUACGAAUCCUUGUUUUGGUGC